RNAcentral lists this ribosomal RNA (456 nucleotides) under uncultured bacterium. RNAcentral describes it as "bacterial SSU rRNA". It matches the Rfam family "Bacterial small subunit ribosomal RNA", at positions 335 to 800 of the family's 1533-position model. The record is from RNAcentral.
ACUCCUACGGGGGGCAGCAGUGGGGAAUCUUAGACAAUGGGGGCAACCCUGAUCUAGCCAUGCCGCGUGAGUGAUGAAGGCCUUAGGGUCGUAAAGCUCUUUCGCCUGUGAUGAUAAUGACAGUAGCAGGUAAAAGAAACCCCGGCUAAACUCCGUGCCAGCAGCCGCGGUAAUACGGAGGGGUUAGCGUUGUUCGGAAUUACUGGGCGUAAAAGCGCGCGUAGGCGGACUGGAAAGUUGGGGGUGAAAAUCCCAGGGCUCAACCCUGGAACGGCCUCCAAAAACUCCCAGUCUGGAGUUCGAGAGAGGUGAGUGGAAUUCCGAGUGUAGAGGUGAAAAUUCGUAGAUAAUUCGGAGGAACACCAGUGGCGAAGGCGGCUCACUGGCUCGAUACUGACGCUGAGGUGCGAAAGUGUGGGGGAGCAAAACAGGAUUAGAUACCCUGGUAGGCUCUGC